Molecule: long non-coding RNA, 267 nt
Filed under: Gossypium barbadense (sea-island cotton)
Lineage: Eukaryota; Viridiplantae; Streptophyta; Magnoliopsida; Malvales; Malvaceae
Description: long non-coding RNA (GBAR_LNC000668)
Source: RNAcentral
GGGGGGGAUUUUGUUCAUCCUUUUCUCAUCUUCAUGCUUGCCAAAAACUAGAAAGAAAAACAAAGAAAAAUUUUCUCAUCCUUUGGUUCAUCCUUGGCCAAAAAUUUUAAGGAGGAAAGAAGAAGAAAGGUGAAGAGAUUCGGCCAUGCAUGUAGCUAGGCUAAGGUAUGUUUGAUGAUGUUCCAUGAGAGGCAUGCAUGUUUUAGUUGUUAGCUUGAGUUCUACCUAACCCAUGGUCUAAAUCUUGCUAUGUGAUGGAAAUGGCAC